ACGUUGAAAACACUAGUUCUCGUACGGUUACCUAAGUUAAGCAACGUCGAGCCAGGUCAGUAACUAGAUGGGUGACCGCUUUGGAAUACCAGGUGCUGUAA
This is a non-coding RNA of Acanthosepion pharaonis, 101 nucleotides long. NCBI's taxonomy places the organism in Eukaryota, Metazoa, Mollusca, Cephalopoda, Sepiida, Sepiidae. The record is from the annotation of a GenBank genome assembly.